This 441-nucleotide ribosomal RNA is filed under the name uncultured Pseudomonas sp. RNAcentral describes it as "bacterial SSU rRNA". It matches the Rfam family "Bacterial small subunit ribosomal RNA", at positions 8 to 451 of the family's 1533-position model. The record is from RNAcentral. Lineage: Bacteria; Pseudomonadati; Pseudomonadota; Gammaproteobacteria; Pseudomonadales; Pseudomonadaceae.
AGAGUUUGAUCCUGGCUCAGAUUGAACGCUGGCGGCAGGCCUAACACAUGCAAGUCGAGCGGAUGAGAAGAGCUUGCUCUUCGAUUCAGCGGCGGACGGGUGAGUAAUGCCUAGGAAUCUGCCUGGUAGUGGGGGACAACGUUUCGAAAGGAACGCUAAUACCGCAUACGUCCUACGGGAGAAAGCAGGGGACCUUCGGGCCUUGCGCUAUCAGAUGAGCCUAGGUCGGAUUAGCUAGUUGGUGAGGUAAUGGCUCACCAAGGCGACGAUCCGUAACUGGUCUGAGAGGAUGAUCAGUCACACUGGAACUGAGACACGGUCCAGACUCCUACGGGAGGCAGCAGUGGGGAAUAUUGGACAAUGGGCGAAAGCCUGAUCCAGCCAUGCCGCGUGUGUGAAGAAGGUCUUCGGAUUGUAAAGCACUUUAAGUUGGGAGGAAGG